ACGGAGGGAGCUAGCGUUGUUCGGAAUUACUGGGCGUAAAGCGCGCGUAGGCGGCUUUGUAAGUUAGAGGUGAAAGCCCGGAGCUCAACUCCGGAACUGCCUUUAAAACUGCAUCGCUUGAAUCCAGGAGAGGUGAGUGGAAUUCCGAGUGUAGAGGUGAAAUUCGUAGAUAUUCGGAAGAACACCAGUGGCGAAGGCGGCGACCUGGGCCAAUACUGACGCUGAGGUGCGAAAGCGUGGGGAGCGAACAGGA
RNAcentral lists this ribosomal RNA (253 nucleotides) under uncultured prokaryote. RNAcentral describes it as "partial 16S ribosomal RNA". It matches the Rfam family "Bacterial small subunit ribosomal RNA", at positions 525 to 777 of the family's 1533-position model. The record is from RNAcentral.